Molecule: non-coding RNA, 72 nt
Organism: Paramuricea clavata
Lineage: Eukaryota; Metazoa; Cnidaria; Anthozoa; Malacalcyonacea; Plexauridae
Source: the annotation of a GenBank genome assembly
GCCUCUGUAGCUCAGUUGGUUAGAGCGCUGCACUGGAAUUGCAGGAUGCAGGUUCGAUUCCUGCCACGGACC